AGCAGUGGGGAAUUUUCCGCAAUGGGCGCAAGCCUGACGGAGCAAUACCGCGUGAGGGAGGAAGGCCCUUGGGUUGUAAACCUCUUUUCUUAGGGAAGAAGACAAUGACGGUACCUAAGGAAUCAGCCUCGGCUAACUCCGUGCCAGCAGCCGCGGUAAUACGGAGGAGGCAAGCGUUAUCCGGAAUGAUUGGGCGUAAAGCGUCCGCAGGUGGCGAUUCAAGUCUGCUGUCAAAGCUCCUGGCUCAACUGGGAAGUGGCAGUGGAAACUGAAAAGCUAGAGUGCGGUAGGGGUAGAGGGAAUUCCCGGUGUAGCGGUGAAAUGCGUAGAGAUCGGGAAGAACGCCAGUGGCGAAAGCGCUCUACUAGGCCUGCACUGACACUCAGGGACGAAAGCUAGGGGAGCGAAUGGGAUUAGAUACCCCAGUAGUCCUAGCCGUAAACGAUGGAUACUAGGCGUGGCUUGUAUCGACCCGAGCCGUGCCGGAGCUAACGCGUUAAGUAUCCCGCCUGGGGAGUACGCGCGCAAGCGUGAAACUCAAAGGAAUUGACGGGGGCCCGCACAAGCGGUGGAGUAUGUGGUUUAAUUCGAUGCAACGCGAAGAACCUUACCAGGGCUUGACAUGUCCGGAAUCUUAGGGAAACCUGAGAGUGCCUACGGGAGCCGGAACACAGGUGGUGCAUGGCUGUCGUCAGCUCGUGUCG
RNAcentral lists this ribosomal RNA (704 nucleotides) under uncultured Pleurocapsales cyanobacterium. RNAcentral describes it as "bacterial SSU rRNA". It matches the Rfam family "Bacterial small subunit ribosomal RNA", at positions 350 to 1067 of the family's 1533-position model. Lineage: Bacteria; Bacillati; Cyanobacteriota; Cyanophyceae; Pleurocapsales. The record is from RNAcentral.